AAUCCCGCCGUGCCGAAGCUAACGCGAUAAGCAAUCCGCCUGGGGAGUACGGUCGCAAGACUGAAACCCAAGGGAAUUGACGGGGGCCCGCACAAGCGGUGGAGCAUGUGGUUCAAUUCGACGCAACGCGAAGAACCUUACCUGGGCUCGAAAUGUAGUGGACCGGGGUGGAAACAUCCCUUCCCGCAAGGGCUGCUAUAUAGGUGCUGCAUGGCUGUCGUCAGCUCGUGUCGUGAGAUGUUGGGUUAAGUCCCGCAACGAGCGCAACCCUUAUUGUCAGUUGCCAUCAUUCAGUUGGGCACUCUGGCGAAACCGCCUCGGAUAACGGGGAGGAAGGUGGGGAUGACGUCAAGUCCUCAUGGCCUUUAUGUCCAGGGCUACACACGUGCUACAAUGGUCGGUACAAACCGUCGCAAACCCGCGAGGGGGAGCUAAUCGGAAAAAGCCGACCUCAGUUCGGAUUGGAGUCUGCAACUCGACUCCAUGAAGCUGGAAUCGCUAGUAAUCGCGGAUCAGAACGCCGCGGUGAAUACGUUCCCGGGCCUUGUACACACCGCCCGUCACAUCACGGAAGUGGGCUGUACUAGAAGCCGGUGGGCUAACCGCAAGGAAGCAGCCGUCCAAGGUAUAACUCAUGAUUGGGGUGAAGU
RNAcentral lists this ribosomal RNA (650 nucleotides) under uncultured bacterium. RNAcentral's name for it is "bacterial SSU rRNA". It matches the Rfam family "Bacterial small subunit ribosomal RNA", at positions 834 to 1486 of the family's 1533-position model. The record is from RNAcentral.